This 785-nucleotide ribosomal RNA is filed under the name marine sponge bacterium PLATEMH40. RNAcentral's name for it is "partial 16S ribosomal RNA". It matches the Rfam family "Bacterial small subunit ribosomal RNA", at positions 54 to 883 of the family's 1533-position model. The record is from RNAcentral.
CAUGCAAGUCGAGCGCACCCUUCNGGGAUGAGCGGCGGACGGGGUUANUAACGCGUGGGAACAUACCCUUUGGUACGGAAUANCCUCUGGAAACGGANAGUAAUACCGCUAUGAGCCCUUCGGGGGAAAGAUUUAUCGCCNAAGGAUUGGCCCGCGUUANAUUANGUAGUUGGUGGGGUAAUGGCCUACCAAGCCUACCAUCUAUAGCUGGUUUUANANGAUGAUCANCNNCNCUGGGACUGAAACACGGCCCANACUCCUACNGGAGGCAGCAGUGGGGAAUCUUGGACAAUGGGGGCAACCCUGAUCCAGCCAUGCCGCGUGAGUGAUGAANGCCUUANGGUCNUAAAGCUCUUUCNCCUGUGAAGAUAAUGACGGUAGCANGUAAAGAAACCCCGGCUAACUCCGUGCCAGCAGCCGCGGUAAUACGGAGGGGGUUAGCGUUGUUCGGAAUUACUGGGCGUAAAGCGCACGUAGGCGGACUGGAAAGUAUGGGGUGAAAUCCCAGGGCUCAACCCUGGAACUGCCUCAUAAACUAUCAGUCUANAGUUCGAGAGAGGUGAGUGGAAUUCCAANUGUANAGGUGAAAUUCNUAAAUNUUUGGANGAACACCAGUGGCGAANGCGGCUCACUGGCUCGAUACUGACNCUNANGUGCGAAAGUGUGGGGAGCAAACAGGAUUANAUACCCUGGUAGUCCACACCGUAAACGAUGAAUGCCANUCNUCNGGUAGCAUGCUAUUCUGUGACACACCUAACGGAUUAAGCAUUCCNCCUGGGGAGUAC